CGCAACCGGCCUGCCUGACGAACCGCGACAGGGGAGCAAGGAAGGCUGAAUUAAUCCAGUUCCUCGGGGAGGUUUAAACAGGAAGAAAGCCGCCCCACGCACAUCGCUCCAAAGAAGGGGCUUUUAAAACAGGUUGAAGAAACGGGGCGCAGCUUUGCUGCAAUCCCCUUCAACACAACACAAGAGCAUUCUGCAACGAACUAUCCAAUACUUGAGGAAGAAAUGCAUAAAUGAAAGAGAAUCUGACAUUAAGCAAUUCUGCAAGUUCCUCUUGGCUUUGCCUCUCCUCUUCUCAGAAUCCAUCAGGAACAUCUUGUUCUGUACUUGUCACUGCCAAUACUGGAUGCCACAUUCACUGAUUCUUUU
Molecule: long non-coding RNA, 366 nt
Filed under: Naja naja (Indian cobra)
Lineage: Eukaryota; Metazoa; Chordata; Lepidosauria; Squamata; Elapidae
Description: lncRNA (ENSNNAG00000007173.1)
Source: RNAcentral